This is an unclassified non-coding RNA of Fukomys damarensis (Damara mole-rat), 216 nucleotides long. The record is from Ensembl. NCBI's taxonomy places the organism in Eukaryota, Metazoa, Chordata, Mammalia, Rodentia, Bathyergidae.
GGAUUCUUUAUGUUGAAUCCACAUCUGUCUCUCUACAGUUUGCACUCAUUGGAGACGUACAGAAUAAAAUGUCCAAUAUUUGAGGACUGCUAACACAUUUCCUUAUUCCACUCACUCCACAAAGCUCUUUUUCUUCAAACUAAACAUGCCUGUUAUUUCAAACAGGGAGGCAGUGUGGGGCAGUGGAAAGAAAGCCUGCUCUGGAGCCAGACACAU